RNAcentral lists this transfer RNA (73 nucleotides) under Camelus bactrianus (Bactrian camel). It matches the Rfam family "tRNA". Rfam says of the family: Transfer RNA (tRNA) molecules are approximately 80 nucleotides in length. Their secondary structure includes four short double-helical elements and three loops (D, anti-codon, and T loops). The record is from Rfam by way of RNAcentral. Lineage: Eukaryota; Metazoa; Chordata; Mammalia; Artiodactyla; Camelidae. RNAcentral also lists the same sequence under 2 other names.
GAAGGUAUAGCUCAAGUGGUAGAAUGCAUGCUUAGCAUGCACAAGGUCCUAGGUUCAAUUCCCAGUACCUCCU